GCCUCGGUAGCUCAACGGUAGAGCAUCUGCUUCGUAAGCAGGUGGUUGUGGGUUCGAAUCCCAUCCGAGGCU
This 72-nucleotide transfer RNA is filed under the name Candidatus Pacearchaeota archaeon. RNAcentral's name for it is "tRNA-Thr". It matches the Rfam family "tRNA". From Rfam's summary of the family: Transfer RNA (tRNA) molecules are approximately 80 nucleotides in length. Their secondary structure includes four short double-helical elements and three loops (D, anti-codon, and T loops). Lineage: Archaea; Nanobdellati. The record is from RNAcentral.